RNAcentral lists this ribosomal RNA (458 nucleotides) under uncultured Quadrisphaera sp. RNAcentral's name for it is "bacterial SSU rRNA". It matches the Rfam family "Bacterial small subunit ribosomal RNA", at positions 923 to 1382 of the family's 1533-position model. Lineage: Bacteria; Bacillati; Actinomycetota; Actinomycetes; Kineosporiales; Kineosporiaceae. The record is from RNAcentral.
GCACAAGCGCGGAGCAUGCGGAUUAAUUCGAUGCAACGCGAAGAACCUUUACCAAGGCUUGACAUACAGGGAAAUCUCGCAGAGAUGUGAGGUCCGCAAGGGUCCUGUACAGGUGGUGCAUGGUUGUCGUCAGCUCGUGUCGUGAGAUGUUGGGUUAAGUCCCGCAACGAGCGCAACCCUCGUCCUAUGUUGCCAGCGGGUCGUGCCGGGGACUCAUAGGAGACUGCCGGGGUCAACUCGGAGGAAGGUGGGAUGACGUCAAAUCAUCCAUCGCCCUUAUGUCUUGGGCUUCACGCAUGCUACAAUGGCCAGUACAAAGGGCUGCGAGACCGUGAGGUGGAGCGAAUCCCAAAAAGCUGGUCUCAGUUCGGAUUGGAGUCUGCAACUCGACCCCAUGAAGUCGGAGUCGCUAGUAAUCGCAGAUCAGCAACGCUGCGGUGAAUACGUUCCCGGGCCUU